AACGCGAAAGAGGGGUAACCCUUGAGUAGAGUGGCGGACGGGUGAGUAAUACGUAGGAAUCUGCCCUAGAGUGGGGGAUAACCUGUCGAAAGACGGGCUAAUACCGCAUACUCUCUAUGGAGCAAAGGGGCCUUGUAGUAAUACAAGGUUUCGCUUUAGGAUGAGCCUACGUCGGAUUAGCUAGUUGGUAGGGUAAAGGCCUACCAAGGCAACGAUCCGUAGCUGGUCUGAGAGGACGAUCAGCCACACUGGAACUGAGACACGGUCCAGACUCCUACGGGAGGCAGCAGUGGGGAAUAUUGGACAAUGGGGGAAACCCUGAUCCAGCAAUGCCGCGUGUGCGAUGAAGGCCUGCGGGUUGUAAAGCACUUUCGGUGGGAAAGAAAUACUCAAAGUUAAUACCUUUGAGUGCUGACGUUACCCACAGAAGAAGCACCGGCAAACUCUGUGCCAGCAGCCGCGGUAAUACAGAGGGUGCAAGCGUUAAUCGGAGUUACUGGGCGUAAAGGGCGCGUAGGUGGACCUUUAAGUCGAUUGUGAAAUCCCUGGGCUUAACCUAGGAAUUGCAGUCGAUACUGAUGGUCUAGAGUAUGGUAGAGGAAAGUAGAAUUCUCGGUGUAGUGGUAAAAUACGUAGAUAUCGAGAGGAAUACCGGUGGCGAAGGCGACUUUCUGGCCCAAUACUGACACUGAGGCGCGAAAGCGUGGGGAGCAAACAGGAUUAGAUACCCUGGUAGUCCACGCUGUAAACGAUGAGAACUAGAUGUUGUUUAGGCGUAAGCCUAGGCAGUAUCGUAGCUAACGCAUUAAGUUCUCCGCCUGGGGAGUA
RNAcentral lists this ribosomal RNA (828 nucleotides) under uncultured organism. RNAcentral's name for it is "bacterial SSU rRNA". It matches the Rfam family "Bacterial small subunit ribosomal RNA", at positions 65 to 882 of the family's 1533-position model. The record is from RNAcentral.